GUUGUGGUUCAGUGGUAGAGCGCUUGCCUAGCAUGUGUGGGGCCCUGGGUUUGAUCCUCAGCAUCACA
RNAcentral lists this transfer RNA (68 nucleotides) under Marmota monax (woodchuck). Its description in RNAcentral is "tRNA.Ala". Lineage: Eukaryota; Metazoa; Chordata; Mammalia; Rodentia; Sciuridae. The record is from RNAcentral.